Molecule: non-coding RNA, 72 nt
Organism: Phrynosoma platyrhinos (Desert horned lizard)
Lineage: Eukaryota; Metazoa; Chordata; Lepidosauria; Squamata; Phrynosomatidae
Source: the annotation of a GenBank genome assembly
GCCAGUAUGAUGUAAUGGUUUGAGUGUUGGACUACAACUCUGAAAAGCAGGGUUCAAUUCCCUGCUCAGUCA